This 56-nucleotide transfer RNA is filed under the name Capra hircus (goat). RNAcentral also lists the same sequence under 1 other name. The record is from Rfam by way of RNAcentral. Lineage: Eukaryota; Metazoa; Chordata; Mammalia; Artiodactyla; Bovidae.
UGGCUUAGAUGGUAAAGCGUCUGCCUGCAAUGCAGGACACCUGGGUUUGAUCUCAG